Molecule: ribosomal RNA, 474 nt
Filed under: uncultured organism
Description: partial 16S ribosomal RNA
Rfam family: Bacterial small subunit ribosomal RNA
Source: RNAcentral
ACUCCUGCGGGAGGCAGCAGUAGGGAAUCUUCCACAAUGGGUGCAAACCUGAUGGAGCAAUGCCGCGUGAGUGAAGAAGGUCUUCGGAUCGUAAAGCUCUGUUGUUAGAGAAGAACACGUGCUAGGUAACUACUAGCGCCUUGACGGUAUCUAACCAGAAAGUCACGGCUAACUACGUGCCAGCAGCCGCGGUAAUACGUAGGUGACAAGCGUUGUCCGGAUUUAUUGGGCGUAAAGGGAGCGCAGGCGGUCUGUUUAGUCUAAUGUGAAAGCCCACGGCUUAACCGUGGAACGGCAUUGGAAACUGACAGACUUGAAUGUAGAAGAGGAAAGUGGAAUUCCAAGUGUAGCGGUGGAAUGCGUAGAUAUUUGGAGGAACACCAGUGGCGAAGGCGAUUUUCUGGUCUAACAUUGACGCUGAGGCUCGAAAGCGUGGGGAGCGAACAGGAUUAGAAACCCCGGUAGUCCCAUGAU